ACGUAGGGUCCGAGCGUUGUCCGGAAUUAUUGGGCGUAAAGAGCUCGUAGGCGGCUUGUCGCGUCGACUGUGAAAACCCGCGGCUCAACUGCGGGCCUGCAGUCGGUACGGGCAGACUAGAGUGCGGUAGGGGAGACUGGAAUUCCUGGUGUAGCGGUGAAAUGCGCAGAUAUCAGGAGGAACACCGGUGGCGAAGGCGGGUCUCUGGGCCGUAACUGACGCUGAGGAGCGAAAGCAUGGGGAGCGAACAGGA
Molecule: ribosomal RNA, 253 nt
Filed under: uncultured prokaryote
Description: partial 16S ribosomal RNA
Rfam family: Bacterial small subunit ribosomal RNA
Source: RNAcentral